GUAGUUUUCAUUAUAAAACUGAUGUACAUAUAUGAGAUCUUGGUUUUUGUACGCCAUGGAAUGGGACAACAAUAAAACUAUAUUCAAAUUAACAUAUUAUUCCAUCACAUAUAUUCUGUUUGAUAAUGCAUUUUGCAUACCUUUAUAUAUACAAGUUUUAAAGGGCACUGCUACAGCAUAUAUAAAAAAUUCUAAUAUGAUUUUUUUGUUCAAUCAUUAAUGAGAGUGAAAUAGGGAAAUAAUUAUUCGCUUUUAGCAACUAAAAAGGUUUAAUGUUGUCAAAUUAGACUAAUAAAAUAUGAUAAUGACAUAUUCACUUGCAAGUGAAUAAUUCGACCUCAUUAAUUCCGUAUUUAUGUGAACUCCAAUUUAACCCCGUAAAAAGAGAUAGAAUAAUGCAUGCAUUGUUCGUGUAUGGUUAGUUAAAAAGAAAAUAAUGUCAAAAUGAAGAUGAAACAAAGGUAAAUAAUUUGAAUGACUGAUUCGAUCCACUAAAAAUCAUUCUUUU
Molecule: long non-coding RNA, 508 nt
Filed under: Mytilus galloprovincialis (Mediterranean mussel)
Lineage: Eukaryota; Metazoa; Mollusca; Bivalvia; Mytilida; Mytilidae
Source: RNAcentral